GCCAAAAUAGCUCAGUUGGGAGAGCAUUUGACUGAAGAUCUAAAGGUAUCUGGUUCAAUUCUGGAUUUUGGCA
This is a non-coding RNA of Pseudophryne corroboree (corroboree frog), 73 nucleotides long. The record is from the annotation of a RefSeq genome assembly. NCBI's taxonomy places the organism in Eukaryota, Metazoa, Chordata, Amphibia, Anura, Myobatrachidae.